UACGUAGGUGGCAAGCGUUGUCCGGAAUCACUGGGCGUAAAGGGCGCGUAGGCGGCGACUUAAGUCGGGGGUGAAAGCCUGUGGCUCAACCACAGAAUGGCCUUCGAUACUGGGUUGCUUGAGUGUGGUAGAGGUUGGUGGAACUGCGAGUGUAGAGGUGAAAUUCGUAGAUAUUCGCAAGAACACCGGUGGCGAAGGCGGCCAACUGGACCAUCACUGACGCUGAGGCGCGAAAGCGUGGGGAGCAAACAGG
RNAcentral lists this ribosomal RNA (253 nucleotides) under uncultured bacterium. RNAcentral's name for it is "partial 16S ribosomal RNA". It matches the Rfam family "Bacterial small subunit ribosomal RNA", at positions 524 to 776 of the family's 1533-position model. The record is from RNAcentral.